CUCAGUACGGUCUGGACCCAGCCUGGCUCAGCCCAGCCCCGCCUGCAGCCAGCGCUGCUCUCCCGAGGCGCAGCCCUGGGGCGUGGUCCCGAGGAGCUGCGGGCAGGGGUGGGCUCUGCUGGGUCACAGAAGCCCCUGCCUGGCUCCUGGCCUGGCUGAAAAGCAGCCUGGGGUGACCUGGCCCCGCAUUGAGAGGGCACCGCCAGGCUCGUCCCCGCGCUGCGGGGGUGUCCCGGAUCCCCUCCGCGUAACGCUCCUCCCCAGCGCCGCCUCCCUCCGCCGGCCUUCCGGGAGCCCUGGUGAUCCUCGCUCCGCAGCCACCGUCGGACCGCAGCGCGCAGCGAGCCCGGCUCGGCCGCCGGUGCUCUGUGCUGGACCCUGAGCACCAUGUGGUGGCUCGGUGCUGUGGCCCUGCUGCUCUGGGCAGGGCUGGGCCUGGCCCAGGACUACCCAUUCCGGGACCCCACCCUGCCCUGGGAGCAGCGCCUGGACGACCUCAUUGGGCGGCUCACCCUGGGGGAACUGGUGCUGCAGAUGGCGAGAGGUGGCGCUAAGUACAACGGGCCAGCGCCCCCCAUUGAGCGGCUGGGAAUCAAGCCCUACAACUGGAACACCGAGUGCCUGAGGGGGGAUGGGGAAGCCCCUGGCUGGGCCACGGCCUUCCCCCAAGCACUGGGCUUGGCGGCCUCCUUCAGCCCCGAGCUCAUCCACCGCGUGGCCAAUGCCACUGCCACGGAAGUGAGAGCCAAGCACAACUACUUCAUGUCCACGGGCAACUACGGCGACCACACGGGCCUCAGCUGCUUCAGCCCAGUGCUGAACAUCAUGAGACACCCGCUGUGGGGCAGGAACCAGGAGACGUACGGCGAAGACCCGUUCCUGAGCGCAGAGCUGGCCGUGGCAUUUGUGCAGGGGCUGCAGGGCGACCACCUCCGUUACGUCAAGGCCAGCGCCGGCUGCAAGCACUUCAGUGUGCACGGGGGCCCUGAGAACGUGCCCGUCUCGCGGCUCAGCUUUGAUGCCAAGGUGCAAGAGCGGGACUGGAGAAUGACCUUCCUGCCCCAGUUCCAGGCCUGUGUGCGCGCUGGCUCCUACAGCAUCAUGUGCAGCUACAACAGGAUCAACGGCGUGCCCGCCUGUGCCAACAAGAAGCUGCUGACAGACAUCCUGCGGGCAGAGUGGGGCUUCCAGGGCUACGUGGUGAGCGACGAGGGGGCCGUGGAGUUGAUCAUGCUGGCCCAUCAGUACACACACAGCUUCCUGGAGACGGCCAUCGCCUCGGUAAAUGCUGGCUGCAACCUGGAGCUGGCCUUCGGCCUGACAGAGAAUGUCUUCAUGAGCAUCAGCGAGGCUGUGGCCAAGGGCAACAUCACGCUGGAGGUGAGAACCUCUGGGGGCAGCAUGGAUGGGACACCCCCUGCCCUUGUGGGGUGACAAUACCGGAG
This 1445-nucleotide long non-coding RNA is filed under the name Gopherus agassizii (Agassiz's desert tortoise). RNAcentral's name for it is "lncRNA (ENSGAGG00000017073.1)". The record is from RNAcentral. Lineage: Eukaryota; Metazoa; Chordata; Testudines; Testudinidae.